GACGAACGCUGGCGGCGUGCUUAACACAUGCAAGUCGAACGGAAAGGCCCUGCUUUUGUGGGGUGCUCGAGUGGCGAACGGGUGAGUAACACGUGAGUAACCUGCCCUUGACUUUGGGAUAACUUCAGGAAACUGGGGCUAAUACCGGAUAGGAGCUCCUGCUGCAUGGUGGGGGUUGGAAAGUUUCGGCGGUUGGGGAUGGACUCGCGGCUUAUCAGCUUGUUGGUGGGGUAGUGGCUUACCAAGGCUUUGACGGGUAGCCGGCCUGAGAGGGUGACCGGCCACAUUGGGACUGAGAUACGGCCCAGACUCCUACGGGAGGCAGCAGUGGGGAAUAUUGCACAAUGGGCGGAAGCCUGAUGCAGCAACGCCUCGUGCGGGAUGACGGCCUUCGGGUUGUAAACCGCUUUCGCCUGUGACGAAGCGUGAGUGACGGUAAUGGGUAAAGAAGCACCGGCUAACUAUGUG
RNAcentral lists this ribosomal RNA (468 nucleotides) under uncultured bacterium. Its description in RNAcentral is "partial 16S ribosomal RNA". It matches the Rfam family "Bacterial small subunit ribosomal RNA", at positions 28 to 507 of the family's 1533-position model. The record is from RNAcentral.